Molecule: ribosomal RNA, 231 nt
Filed under: uncultured bacterium
Lineage: Bacteria
Description: partial 16S ribosomal RNA
Rfam family: Bacterial small subunit ribosomal RNA
Source: RNAcentral
CGGGUGAGUAACGCGUGGGUAACCUGCCUUGUACAGGGGGAUAACAGUUGGAAACGGCUGCUAAUACCGCAUAAGCGCACGGCAUCGCAUGAUGCAGUGUGAAAAACUCCGGUGGUAUAAGAUGGACCCGCGUUGGAUUAGCUAGUUGGUGAGGUAACGGCCCACCAAGGCGACGAUCAGUAGCCGGCCUGAGAGGGUGAUCGGCCACAUUGGGACUGAGACACGGCCCAA